RNAcentral lists this ribosomal RNA (843 nucleotides) under uncultured bacterium. Its description in RNAcentral is "bacterial SSU rRNA". It matches the Rfam family "Bacterial small subunit ribosomal RNA", at positions 30 to 870 of the family's 1533-position model. The record is from RNAcentral.
UGAACGCUGGCGGUAUGCUUUACACAUGCAAGUCGAACGGCAGCACGGGGCAACCUGGUGGCGAGUGGCGAACGGGUGAGUAACAUAUCGGAACAUAUCCGGAAGUGGGGGAUAACGUAGCGAAAGUUACGCUAAUACCGCAUAUGCCCUGAGGGGGAAAGGGGGGGAUCGCAAGACCUCUCGCUUUCGGAGUGGCCGAUAUCGGAUUAGCUAGAUGGUGAGGUAAAGGCUCACCAUGGCGACGAUCCGUAGCGGGUCUGAGAGGACGACCCGCCACACUGGAACUGAGACACGGUCCAGACUCCUACGGGAGGCAGCAGUGGGGAAUUUUGGACAAUGGGCGCAAGCCUGAUCCAGCCAUACCGCGUGAGUGAAGAAGGCCUUCGGGUUGUAAAGCUCUUUCAGCCGGAAAGAAAUCGCACUUUUUAAUACGGAGUGUGGAUGACGGUACCGGAAGAAGAAGCACCGGCUAACUACGUGCCAGCAGCCGCGGUAAUACGUAGGGUGCGAGCGUUAAUCGGAAUUACUGGGCGUAAAGCGUGCGCAGGCGGUUUUGUAAGACAGAUGUGAAAUCCCCGGGCUUAACCUGGGAACUGCGUUUGUGACUGCAAGACUCGAGUACGGCAGAGGGGGGUGGAAUUCCACGUGUAGCAGUGAAAUGCGUAGAGAUGUGGAGGAACACCGAUGGCGAAGGCAGCCCCCUGGGUCGAUACUGACGCUCAUGCACGAAAGCGUGGGGAGCAAACAGGAUUAGAUACCCUGGUAGUCCACGCCCUAAACGAUGCCAACUAGGUGUUGGAGAAGGAGACUUCUUUAGUACCGUAGCUAACGCGUGAAGUGGCC